GACGAACGCUGGCGGCGUGCUUAACACAUGCAAGUCGAACGGAAAGGCCCUGCUUGCAGGGUGCUCGAGUGGCGACCGGGUGAGUAACACGUGGGUGAUCUGCCCCUUACUUUGGGAUAAGCCUGGGAAACUGGGUCUAAUACUGGAUAGGACCAUGCUGUAGGUGGUGUGGUGGAAAGAUUAGUUUCGGUAAGGGAUGAGCUCGCGGCCUAUCAGCUUGUUGGUGGGGUAAUGGCCUACCAAGGCGUCGACGGGUAGCCGGCCUGAGAGGGUGGACGGCCACAUUGGGACUGAGAUACGGCCCAGACUCCGACGGGAGGCAGCAGUGGGGAAUAUUGCACAAUGGGCGCAAGCCUGAUGCAGCGACGCCGCGUGGGGGAUGACGGGCUUCGGGUUGUAAACUCCUUUCAGCCAUGACGAAGCCCUUGUGGUGACGGGAGUGGUAGAAGGAGCACCGGCUAACUACGU
Molecule: ribosomal RNA, 468 nt
Filed under: uncultured bacterium
Lineage: Bacteria
Description: partial 16S ribosomal RNA
Rfam family: Bacterial small subunit ribosomal RNA
Source: RNAcentral